ACUCUUGCUCUUCAAGGAUGGGUUGUAAGUGAGUUAUUUGAUGCCAUUCUGUCUAUGACCCCCCACCUUUGCAUCGUAAAGGAAUCUGUCUGGGGUAAGCAAGCUUGUAUUUCCUUGAAUAUGUCCUGGGUGGCUGCUGUUCACUUUCCCCUUUGUAGAUAUGUUAACUGUUGGAAAGCAGCAUGCAGUGUUUGUUGCCCAGACAUCCAGAAUUGAUGCCCAUAUGUUCACUGCAUCAACAAUUUUAUACUGUUGGACCCAAAACCAUCCUUCCUUUUCCAACCUUUCUGAGAAUGGAGGAUGGGUUAGUGAACUUGUUUAAACAGAAGCCCUUUGUAUGUGCUUUGAUGUUAAUUUAUCUACCUUUUCCCCCCUUUUCCCCUGUUUCUUUUAAUCACUUAUAUACAGUAGCAACUGGACAUCAUGUAGGAUGAUUCAAAUGACAGGUGAAAUCUGAUCUAGAGUUUAAUUGUAUCUGGAAAAAUUUGGAGGUUAGUGCCUGUCAACUUAAUAUGGGGCAUUAUGGUUCUUUGUAUUGAAUUUUGAUGAUUCAUGAUCCAUGUCAAUUCUUACUGUUUUGCAAGAUAUAUUCUCAAAACUGCAGGUACAUUUGUAUGGGGGUGUUGAAGUCUGUUGGGCGAGUAAUAAGAACGGAUAUGAUGAGGUUGGUUUGGUGGGUUCUUAUUGCUUUUGCCAUCAGGAUUAUUUUUGAGACCCCAAUGCAAUCCCAAGUUCCUCAAAUCCUUGAGAAUUUUGAAGCUUGCU
Molecule: unclassified non-coding RNA, 765 nt
Filed under: Hevea brasiliensis (rubber tree)
Lineage: Eukaryota; Viridiplantae; Streptophyta; Magnoliopsida; Malpighiales; Euphorbiaceae
Source: RNAcentral